AACCUCUGAUGGUGGCGUUAACAAAGAAAACAUUCAAAAAGAUUUUGAGGCGAUUGGAGCAGAUGGCUUCGACCCCAUUCUGAAUUCUACAGAACAUUCAGAAAUUAGUUCAAAAGCAGUUAGUGGCUAUACCGACACUUUGGAAUCACUCGGAUCUAAUUGGCCAGAAUCUGCAACAUACGAUGGCAUCAACUCAUCAUUAACAAUAAACGAG
Scaptodrosophila lebanonensis is the source of this 214-nucleotide long non-coding RNA. RefSeq lists it as uncharacterized. Lineage: Eukaryota; Metazoa; Arthropoda; Insecta; Diptera; Drosophilidae. The transcript has 3 exons. The record is from RefSeq and is a predicted model, not a curated record.